GGUCAAGCGAACAAGUGCAUGUGGUGGAUGCCUUGGCGAUCACAGGCGAUGAAGGACGCGGUAGCCUGCGAAAAGCUACGGGGAGCUGGCAAACGAGCUUUGAUCCGUAGAUGUCCGAAUGGGGAAACCCACUCCUUUUGGAGUAUCCAUGACUGAAUACAUAGGUCAUGUGAAGCGAACGCGGUGAACUGAAACAUCUAAGUAACCGCAGGAAAAGAAAUCAACCGAGAUUCCCAAAGUAGUGGCGAGCGAAAUGGGAAGAGCCUGUACUCUUUAUUUGUAUUGUUAGCCGAACGCUCUGGAAAGUGCGGCCAUAGCAGGUGAUAGCCCUGUAGGCGAAAACAGUAUGAAAGAACUAGGUGUACGACAAGUAGGGCGGGACACGUGAAAUCCUGUCUGAAGAUGGGGGGACCAUCCUCCAAGGCUAAAUACUCGUGAUCGACCGAUAGUGAACCAGUACCGUGAGGGAAAGGUGAAAAGAACCCCGGGAGGGGAGUGAAAUAGAUCCUGAAACCGCAUGCAUACAAACAGUCGGAGCCUCGUAAGGGGUGACGGCGUACCUUUUGUAUAAUGGGUCAGCGACUUACGUUCAGUAGCAAGCUUAACCGAAUAGGGCAGGCGUAGCGAAAGCGAGUCCGAAUAGGGCGUUCAGUUGCUGGGCGUAGACCCGAAACCAAGUGAUCUAUCCAUGGCCAGGAUGAAGGUGCGGUAACACGUACUGGAGGUCCGAACCCACUAACGUUGAAAAGUUAGGGGAUGAGCUGUGGAUAGGGGUGAAAGGCUAAACAAACUUGGAAAUAGCUGGUUCUCUCCGAAAACUAUUUAGGUAGUGCCUCGUGUCUCACCUUCGGGGGUAGAGCACUGUCAUGGUUGGGGGGUCUAUUGCAGAUUACCCCGCCAUAGCAAACUCCGAAUACCGAAGAGUGCAAUCACGGGAGACAGACAUCGGGUGCUAACGUCCGGUGUCAAGAGGGAAACAACCCAGACCGCCAGCUAAGGUCCCCAAAUAUGGCUAAGUGGGAAACGAAGUGGGAAGGCUAAAACAGUCAGGAGGUUGGCUUAGAAGCAGCCACCCUUUAAAGAAAGCGUAAUAGCUCACUGAUCGAGUCGUCCUGCGCGGAAGAUGUAACGGGGCUAAGCCAUAUACCGAAGCUGCGGAUGCGAGCUAGUCUCGCAUGGUAGGAGAGCGUUCCGUAAGCCUGCGAAGGUGCAUUGUAAAGUGUGCUGGAGGUAUCGGAAGUGCGAAUGCUGACAUGAGUAGCGAUAAAGGGGGUGAAAGGCCCCCUCGCCGUAAGCCCAAGGUUUCCUACGCAACGUUCAUCGGCGUAGGGUGAGUCGGCCCCUAAGGCGAGGCAGAAAUGCGUAGCUGAUGGGAAGCAGGUCAAUAUUCCUGCACCAUUGUUAAAUGCGAUGGGGGGACGGAUCGCGGAAGGUUGUCCGGGUGUUGGAAGUCCCGGUCGCUGCAUUGGAGAAGGCGCUUAGGCAAAUCCGGGCGCGGAAUUCAAGGGUGUGGCGCGAGCUUCUUCGGAAGCGAAGCAAUCGGAAGUGGUUCCAAGAAAAGCCUCUAAGCUUCAGUUUAACAGUGACCGUACCGCAAACCGACACAGGUGGGCGAGAUGAGUAUUCUAAGGCGCUUGAGAGAACUCGGGAGAAGGAACUCGGCAAAUUGGUACCGUAACUUCGGGAUAAGGUACGCCCCUGUAGCUUGACUGGCCUGCGCCAGAAGGGUGAAGGGGUUGCAAUAAACUGGUGGCUGCGACUGUUUAAUAAAAACACAGCACUCUGCAAACACGAAAGUGGACGUAUAGGGUGUGACGCCUGCCCGGUGCCGGAAGAUUAAAUGAUGGGGUGCAAGCUCUUGAUUGAAGUCCCGGUAAACGGCGGCCGUAACUAUAACGGUCCUAAGGUAGCGAAAUUCCUUGUCGGGUAAGUUCCGACCUGCACGAAUGGCGUAACGAUGGCCACACUGUCUCCUCCCGAGACUCAGCGAAGUUGAAGUGUUUGUGAUGAUGCAAUCUCCCCGCGGCUAGACGGAAAGACCCCAUGAACCUUUACUGUAGCUUUGCAUUGGACUUUGAACCGAUCUGUGUAGGAUAGGUGGGAGGCUAUGAAACCGGAACGCUAGUUUCGGUGGAGCCGUCCUUGAAAUACCACCCUGGUUUGUUUGAGGUUCUAACCUUGGCCCGUGAUCCGGGUCGGGGACAGUGCAUGGUAGGCAGUUUGACUGGGGCGGUCUCCUCCCAAAGUGUAACGGAGGAGUACGAAGGUACGCUAGGUACGGUCGGAAAUCGUGCUGAUAGUGCAAUGGCAUAAGCGUGCUUAACUGCGAGACCGACAAGUCGAGCAGGUGCGAAAGCAGGUCAUAGUGAUCCGGUGGUUCUGUAUGGAAGGGCCAUCGCUCAACGGAUAAAAGGUACUCUGGGGAUAACAGGCUGAUACCGCCCAAGAGUUCAUAUCGACGGCGGUGUUUGGCACCUCGAUGUCGGCUCAUCUCAUCCUGGGGCUGUAGCCGGUCCCAAGGGUAUGGCUGUUCGCCAUUUAAAGAGGUACGUGAGCUGGGUUUAAAACGUCGUGAGACAGUUUGGUCCCUAUCUGCCGUGGGCGUUGGAUAUUUGAAGGGGGCUGCUCCUAGUACGAGAGGACCGGAGUGGACGAACCUCUGGUGUACCGGUUGUCACGCCAGUGGCAUCGCCGGGUAGCUAUGUUCGGAAGAGAUAACCGCUGAAAGCAUCUAAGCGGGAAACUCGCCUUAAGAUGAGAUAUCCCCGGGGAUUUGAUCCCCUUGAAGGGUCGUUCGAGACCAGGACGUUGAUAGGUCAGGUGUGUAAGCGCAGUAAUGCGUUCAGCUAACUGAUACUAAUUGCCCGUAAGGCUUGAUCCU
Molecule: ribosomal RNA, 2881 nt
Filed under: Burkholderia glumae
Lineage: Bacteria; Pseudomonadati; Pseudomonadota; Betaproteobacteria; Burkholderiales; Burkholderiaceae
Description: 23S ribosomal RNA
Rfam family: Bacterial large subunit ribosomal RNA
Source: RNAcentral